UUCCCUGUGGCUCAGUUGGUAGAGCAUGGUGUUUGCAACGCCAGCAUGGUGUGUGCAACGCCAGGGUUGUGGGUUCGAUUCACAUGGGGGGAC
Molecule: non-coding RNA, 93 nt
Organism: Salmo salar (Atlantic salmon)
Lineage: Eukaryota; Metazoa; Chordata; Actinopteri; Salmoniformes; Salmonidae
Source: Rfam